RNAcentral lists this ribosomal RNA (501 nucleotides) under uncultured bacterium. RNAcentral describes it as "partial 16S ribosomal RNA". It matches the Rfam family "Bacterial small subunit ribosomal RNA", at positions 30 to 523 of the family's 1533-position model. The record is from RNAcentral.
AUUGAACGCUGGCGGCAGGCUUAACACAUGCAAGUCGAGCGGGGAAGGUUGCUUUGGUAACUGACCUAGCGGCGGACGGGUGAGUAAUGCUUAGGAAUCUGCCUAUUAGUGGGGGACAACAUUCCGAAAGGAAUGCUAAUACCGCAUACGCCCUACGGGGGAAAGCAGGGGAUCUUCGGACCUCGCGCUAAUAGAUGAGCCGAAGUCGGAUUAGCUAGUGGGUGGGGUAAAGGCCUACCAAGGCGACGAUCUGUAGCGGGUCUGAGAGGAUGAUCCGCCACACUGGGACUGAGACGCGGCCCAGACUCCUACGGGAGGCAGCAGUGGGGAAUAUUGUACAAUGGGCGGAAGCCUGAUCCAGCCAUGCCGCGUGUGUGAAGAAGGCCUUUUGGUUGUAAAGCACUUUAAGCGAGGAUGAGGCUCCUUUAGUUAAUACCUAAAGAGAGUGGACGUUACUCGCAGAAUAAGCACCGGCUAAUUCUGUGCCAGCAGCCGCGGUAA